ACGCUGGCGGCGUGCUUAACACAUGCAAGUCGAACGAAGCACUUUAUUAUGAUUUCUUCGGAAUGACGAUUUAGUGACUGAGUGGCGGACGGGUGAGUAACGCGUGGGUAACCUGCCUUAUACAGGGGGAUAACAGUUGGAAACGACUGCUAAUACCGCAUAAGCGCACGGUAUCGCAUGAUACAGUGUGAAAAACUCCGGUGGUAUAAGAUGGACCCGCGUUGGAUUAGCUAGUUGGUGAGGUAACGGCCCACCAAGGCGACGAUCAGUAGCCGGCCUGAGAGGGUGACCGGCCACAUUGGGACUGAGACACGGCCCAGACUCCUACGGGAGGCAGCAGUGGGGAAUAUUGCACAAUGGGGGAAACCCUGAUGCAGCGACGCCGCGUGGAGGAAGAAGGUCUUCGGAUUGUAAACUCCUGUUGUUGGGGAAGAUAAUGACGGUACCCAACAAGGAAGUGACGGCUAACUACGUG
RNAcentral lists this ribosomal RNA (475 nucleotides) under uncultured bacterium. Its description in RNAcentral is "bacterial SSU rRNA". It matches the Rfam family "Bacterial small subunit ribosomal RNA", at positions 33 to 507 of the family's 1533-position model. The record is from RNAcentral.